This 442-nucleotide ribosomal RNA is filed under the name uncultured Acinetobacter sp. RNAcentral describes it as "bacterial SSU rRNA". It matches the Rfam family "Bacterial small subunit ribosomal RNA", at positions 349 to 782 of the family's 1533-position model. Lineage: Bacteria; Pseudomonadati; Pseudomonadota; Gammaproteobacteria; Moraxellales; Moraxellaceae. The record is from RNAcentral.
CAGCAGUGGGGAAUAUUGGACAAUGGGCGGAAGCCUGAUCCAGCCAUGCCGCGUGUGUGAAGAAGGCCUUUUGGUUGUAAAGCACUUUAAGCGAGGAGGAGGCUACCGAGAUUAAUACUCUAGGAUAGUGGACGUUACUCGCAGAAUAAGCACCGGCUAACUCUGUGCCAGCAGCCGCGGUAAUACAGAGGGUGCGAGCGUUAAUCGGAUUUACUGGGCGUAAAGCGUGCGUAGGCGGCUUCUUAAGUCGGAUGUGAAAUCCCUGAGCUUAACUUAGGAAUUGCAUUCGAUACUGGGAAGCUAGAGUAUGGGAGAGGAUGGUAGAAUUCCAGGUGUAGCGGUGAAAUGCGUAGAGAUCUGGAGGAAUACCGAUGGCGAAGGCAGCCAUCUGGCCUAAUACUGACGCUGAGGUACGAAAGCAUGGGGAGCAAACAGGAUUAGA